GUGCUUGUUUCAGCAGCACAUAUACUAAGAUUGGAAUGAUACAGAGAAGAUCAGCAUGGCCCCUUUGCAAGGAUGACACAAAAAUUUGUGAAACGUUUCAUAUUUUU
Molecule: small nuclear RNA, 107 nt
Filed under: Pteropus vampyrus (large flying fox)
Lineage: Eukaryota; Metazoa; Chordata; Mammalia; Chiroptera; Pteropodidae
Source: RNAcentral